This 913-nucleotide ribosomal RNA is filed under the name Didymella anserina. RNAcentral's name for it is "LSU rRNA". It matches the Rfam family "Eukaryotic large subunit ribosomal RNA", at positions 34 to 965 of the family's 3401-position model. Lineage: Eukaryota; Fungi; Ascomycota; Dothideomycetes; Pleosporales; Didymellaceae. The record is from RNAcentral.
UUAAGCAUAUCAAUAAGCGGAGGAAAAGAAACCAACAGGGAUUGCCCUAGUAACGGCGAGUGAAGCGGCAACAGCUCAAAUUUGAAAUCUGGCGUCUUUGGCGUCCGAGUUGUAAUUUGCAGAGGGCGCUUUGGCAUUGGCAGCGGUCCAAGUUCCUUGGAACAGGACGUCACAGAGGGUGAGAAUCCCGUACGUGGUCGCUAGCCUUUACCGUGUAAAGCCCCUUCGACGAGUCGAGUUGUUUGGGAAUGCAGCUCUAAAUGGGAGGUAAAUUUCUUCUAAAGCUAAAUACUGGCCAGAGACCGAUAGCGCACAAGUAGAGUGAUCGAAAGAUGAAAAGCACUUUGGAAAGAGAGUUAAAAAGCACGUGAAAUUGUUGAAAGGGAAGCGCUUGCAGCCAGACUUGCCUGUAGUUGCUCAUCCGGGUUUCUACCCGGUGCACUCUUCUAUAGGCAGGCCAGCAUCAGUUUGGGCGGUUGGAUAAAGGUCUCUGUCAUGUACCUCUCUUCGGGGAGAACUUAUAGGGGAGACGACAUGCAACCAGCCUGGACUGAGGUCCGCGCAUCUGCUAGGAUGCUGGCGUAAUGGCUGUAAGCGGCCCGUCUUGAAACACGGACCAAGGAGUCUAACAUCUAUGCGAGUGUUUGGGUGUCAAGCCCGAGCGCGUAAUGAAAGUGAACGGAGGUGGGAACCUUUCGGGGUGCACCAUCGACCGAUCCUGAUGUCUUCGGAUGGAUUUGAGUAAGAGCAUAGCUGUUGGGACCCGAAAGAUGGUGAACUAUGCUUGAAUAGGGUGAAGCCAGAGGAAACUCUGGUGGAGGCUCGCAGCGGUUCUGACGUGCAAAUCGAUCGUCAAAUUUGGGCAUAGGGGCGAAAGACUAAUCGAACUAUCUAGUAGCUGGUUCCUGCCGAA